GGUGCUGUGGCAUAGUGGGUUAAAGCCCCGGCCUGUAGUGCCGGUAUCCCAUAUGGGCCAUGGUUCAAGCCCCGGCUGCUCUA
Molecule: transfer RNA, 83 nt
Filed under: Oryctolagus cuniculus (rabbit)
Lineage: Eukaryota; Metazoa; Chordata; Mammalia; Lagomorpha; Leporidae
Rfam family: tRNA
About the family: Transfer RNA (tRNA) molecules are approximately 80 nucleotides in length.
Source: Rfam by way of RNAcentral